UGGGGAAUAUUGCACAAUGGGCGCAAGCCUGAUGCAGCCAUGCCGCGUGUAUGAAGAAGGCCUUCGGGUUGUAAAGUACUUUCAGCGGGGAGGAAGGGAGUAAAGUUAAUACCUUUGCUCAUUGACGUUACCCGCAGAAGAAGCACCGGCUAACUCCGUGCCAGCAGCCGCGGUAAUACGGAGGGUGCAAGCGUUAAUCGGAAUUACUGGGCGUAAAGCGCACGCAGGCGGUUUGUUAAGUCAGAUGUGAAAUCCCCGGGCUCAACCUGGGAACUGCAUCUGAUACUGGUCAGCUAGAGUCUUGUAGAGGGGGGUAGAAUUCCAUGUGUGGCGGUGAAAUGCGUAGAGAUGUGGAGGAAUACCGGUGGCGAAGGCGGCCCCCUGGACAAAGACUGACGCUCAGGUGCGAAAGCGUGGGGAGCAAACAGG
This 429-nucleotide ribosomal RNA is filed under the name Chloroflexota bacterium. RNAcentral describes it as "Chloroflexi bacterium partial 16S ribosomal RNA". It matches the Rfam family "Bacterial small subunit ribosomal RNA", at positions 355 to 776 of the family's 1533-position model. Lineage: Bacteria; Bacillati; Chloroflexota. The record is from RNAcentral.